GAUGAAGAACGUAGCGAAAUGCGAUACUUGGUGUGAAUUGCAGAAUCCCGUGAACCAUCGAGUCUUUGAACGCAAGUUGCGCCCGAAGCCAUCAGGUUGAGGGCACGUCUGCCUGGGCGUCACAUAUCGUCGCCCAAUGCCUAUUGCAGUGCAAUAGGAAUUUCUAGGGCGAAUGAUGGCUUCCCGUGAGCGUUGUUGCCUCGCGGUUGGUUGAAAAUCGAGUCCUUGGUAGGGUGUGCCAUGGUAGAUGGUGGUCGAGUUAGAACGAUACCGAUCAUGUGCAUGCUCCCCAAAAUAUGGCCUCUAUGACCCACACGCGUCUUUUGACGCUCAUGACGAGACCUCAGGUCAGGCGGGGCUACCCGCUGAAUUUAAGCAUAUCAAUAAGCGGAGGA
Molecule: unclassified non-coding RNA, 395 nt
Filed under: soil metagenome
Description: partial contains 5.8S ribosomal RNA, internal transcribed spacer 2, and large subunit ribosomal RNA
Rfam family: 5.8S ribosomal RNA (bases 1-122)
Source: RNAcentral